This 356-nucleotide ribosomal RNA is filed under the name uncultured Desulfobacula sp. RNAcentral's name for it is "bacterial SSU rRNA". It matches the Rfam family "Bacterial small subunit ribosomal RNA", at positions 537 to 892 of the family's 1533-position model. The record is from RNAcentral. Lineage: Bacteria; Pseudomonadati; Thermodesulfobacteriota; Desulfobacteria; Desulfobacterales; Desulfobacteraceae.
AGCGUUAUUCGGAUUAUUGGGCGUAAAGGGCGCGUAGGCGGUCUUGUCGGUCAGAUGUGAAAGCCCAGGGCUCAACCCUGGACGUGCAUUUGAAACAGCAAGACUUGAGUACGGGAGAGGAAAGCGGAAUUCCUGGUGUAGAGGUGAAAUUCGUAGAUAUCAGGAGGAACACCGAUGGCGAAGGCAGCUUUCUGGACCGAUACUGACGCUGAGGCGCGAAGGUGUGGGUAGCGAACGGGAUUAGAUACCCCGGUAGUCCAUCRCAGUAAACGAUGUUCACUAGGUGUAUSGGAUAUUAAAAYCUGMUGUGCCCAAGCUAACGCAUUAAGUGAUCCGCCUGGGGAGUACGUCGCAAG